CCUACGGGUGGCUGCAGUGGGGGAUAUUGCACAAUGGGGGAAACCCUGAUGCAGCGACGCCGCGUGUGGGAAGACGGUCCUCUGGAUUGUAAACCACUGUUCCCAGGGACGAAGAUGACGCUCCCUGGGGUGGCCGCUCCGGCUAACUACGUGCCAGCAGCCGCGGUAAUUCGUAGGGAGCGAGCGUUGUCCGGAAUUACUGGGUGUAAAGGGAGCGUAGGCGGGACUGCAAGUUGGGGGUAAAAUCUACCGGCUCAACCGGUAGCCGCACUCAAAACUGCAGGUCUGGAGUGGAGUAGAGGCAGGCGGAAUGCGUAGUGUAGCGGUGAAAUGCGUAGAUAUUAGGAGGAACACCAGUGGCGAAGGCGGCAUGCUGGGGGUUUACUGACGCUGAGGCUCGAAAGUGUGGGGAGCAAACAGGAUUAGAUACCCUUGUAGUC
This 440-nucleotide ribosomal RNA is filed under the name uncultured bacterium. Its description in RNAcentral is "partial 16S ribosomal RNA". It matches the Rfam family "Bacterial small subunit ribosomal RNA", at positions 338 to 795 of the family's 1533-position model. The record is from RNAcentral.